AUGAAUACAAUUCCGGACGUACGACCGGUGCAAUCGACUUCGGCUGGAUGUAACUGAUCAGCGAGAGUUGCCGCUUGCAGUCACGGGAGGAGUUGAAAACGGAGCGGUCAAGCCUGACACUUCCCGUAGUGACGCUCGCGCGGUGUUUGCUUUCUAUAAAGAAGACAAAGUGGAUUAGAUGUAAUAUUUCUCAGGUGAUGCUGACAUUGUGUCUAUCCCGGACAUCGUAGACGAAAUCAAGUUUCUGAACAAGGGGCGAACACAGAAGUCCCGCGAGUCAGGUUGGAAAACCCCGUGUUGGGAUUGUCAAAUCUUGUAAACAAGAUCGCUGCACCCGAGUUCAAAAAUAAUGAACCGCGCGCUAUAGACUCUUGUUUGGACUGGAAUCAGGAGCUGUUUGAUUCGUGGGACGCCUGUGUAUUUACCCCGGUUCCUGGAGACGAUCUGCCUUCAAACCAAGAAGCAUUUGGUCGCGAGGCUACUGUUAUUAUAGACAAUAACAGAGACUCGGCGGAGGUGAUAUGAACCGGGUUCAAGGCCAUCGAGGAUCGUAUUGCUGGAUUUGAAAAGACUUUUGCUAGCGUCACCGAGCAUCUGGACGUUAUAGAGAAAAAUCAGCGUCUUUAUAAUCAAAGUGUUGUGGAAACAUUACAAAACCAUACCAUCACACAUAAACAAAUCAUAGCAACCCAGAAGCUUCUUGCUGGGGAGAUUCGUCGCGUUGAUCACAAACAACACCUGACGACGGAAUUGUUAAAACAGUUUGUACAGUUGGUUAAAAUCAAGAAACUCCGGUGAGUUGUACAAUAAGUAUUUUAUACCCCUCUGUGUGUGUGUGUGUGUGUGUGUGUGUGUGUGUGUGUGUGUGUGUGUGUGUGUUUAUUUAUUUGCUGGUUCGUAU
Molecule: long non-coding RNA, 901 nt
Organism: Ictalurus punctatus (channel catfish)
Lineage: Eukaryota; Metazoa; Chordata; Actinopteri; Siluriformes; Ictaluridae
Source: Ensembl